GACGAACCGAGCGAACGUUGUUCGGAAUCACUGGGCUUAAAGGGCGCGUAGGCGGACCUGCAAGUCGGGGGUGAAAGCCCGAGGCUCAACCUCGGAACUGCCUUCGAUACUGCGGGUCUCGAGUCCGGGAGAGGUGAGUGGAAUUCCUAGUGUAGAGGUGAAAUUCGUAGAUAUUCGGAGGAACACCAGUGGCGAAGGCGGCUCACUGGUCCGGUACUGACGCUGAGGUGCGAAAGCGUGGGGAGCAAACAGG
RNAcentral lists this ribosomal RNA (253 nucleotides) under uncultured bacterium. RNAcentral describes it as "partial 16S ribosomal RNA". It matches the Rfam family "Bacterial small subunit ribosomal RNA", at positions 524 to 776 of the family's 1533-position model. The record is from RNAcentral.